Molecule: transfer RNA, 76 nt
Filed under: Cyanothece sp. SIO2G6
Lineage: Bacteria; Bacillati; Cyanobacteriota; Cyanophyceae; Gomontiellales; Cyanothecaceae
Description: tRNA-Asn
Rfam family: tRNA
About the family: Transfer RNA (tRNA) molecules are approximately 80 nucleotides in length.
Source: RNAcentral
UGCCCUAUAGCUCAAUUGGCAGAGCGGGCGGCUGUUAACCGCUUGGUUGUAGGUUCGACUCCUACUAGGGCAGCCA